This 496-nucleotide ribosomal RNA is filed under the name uncultured bacterium. RNAcentral describes it as "partial 16S ribosomal RNA". It matches the Rfam family "Bacterial small subunit ribosomal RNA", at positions 29 to 507 of the family's 1533-position model. The record is from RNAcentral.
AUGCACGCUGGCGGCGUGCCUAAUACAUACACGUCGAGCGAACAGACGAGGAGCUUGCUCCUCUGACGUUAGCGGCGGACGGGUGAGUAACACGUGGAUAACCUACCUAUAAGACUGGGAUAACUUCGGGAAACCGGAGCUAAUACCGGAUAAUAUAUUGAACCGCAUGGUUCAAUAGUGAAAGACGGUUUUGCUGUCACUUAUAGAUGGAUCCGCGCCGCAUUAGCUAGUUGGUAAGGUAACGGCUUACCAAGGCAACGAUGCGUAGCCGACCUGAGAGGGUGAUCGGCCACACUGGAACUGAGACACGGUCCAGACUCCUACGGGAGGCAGCAGUAGGGAAUCUUCCGCAAUGGGCGAAAGCUUGACGGAGCAACGCCGCGUGAGUGAUGAAGGUCUUCGGAUCGUAAAACUCUGUUAUUAGGGAAGAACAAAUGUGUAAGUAACUAUGCACGUCUUGACGGUACCUAAUCAGAAAGCCACGGCUAACUACGUG